UUCUCCUCAGACUGCACCCUCUCUCACUUACACUGCUUCGUGUCACCAGUGCAGCACAGAUUAGAUUUAGAUCCAUGCAUUGAGUCAUCCUUUUAGGUAAAGCUUCCUCACCAGGAAGGGAAAUUCUUGAAGGACCUUUGUUUGUGAGGCAGUGUUAACCUAAUGUGUUUUUUUGAUGGUGGGAAAAGCCCGAGUUCCUGGAGAAAACCCACACAAGCACAGGGAGAGAACACUGUCUGCACACAGAAGAACCUCCCAGGCGUUAGUCCUUACCACUGAGCCACACGCUGCCCACUGAAACACAGUUAUAAAUACAGAAGCAAAUAAACAGCAUGUUUGGCAUUUAAAGUGGGGAUAUGUUUUGUGCAUUUAAUGGAAGUAUUUUAGUUUAUUGAGACAUUUAUGUUGACAGACAUAAGCUAUUGUAAGCUAGGCACCAGUGUCAGAAAUGGAGUACAUUGAUUUAUUUAUUUUUAUAAAUUUGAUCACGCCUUAAACACAUGGCUCAUAGAUAUGUGUAUUCAGUGUUUAAUAUGGUGUGAGUAUUUUAGGCAGCUCUCUGAUUUUGUCACCAAAAGAGGGAACAUCCUCUGGGAGACUGUUCGGUGUGCUUCCCAUUAGACCAGUUCCAGAUAGACAAGAUACACCGAGCAUUAAAACUCUUCUGGUGACUCAAAUUUACUUCACUUUUUCUCAGUAUGACCUUCAGUUACCUCUGCUACAGGGUGUGAAAUAUGUUAAAGAUACUGGAAAAAUCGAGUAUCAGAUGUUUGUUGUUUACAUUCCAAACGGAAUAUAAAGUAACGUUGAUGGCUGUUUAGUUAAUGACACAUUUGGGUGGUUUUAAAUUUGUAGAUAGCUUGUUUCUUUUCUAAACCAGUGCUAUUCAUUCCAGAGGUUUGAAAAAUGUAGUUUAAUUUGUGAAAUCUUUGACCUUCACAACCAAGUUAACUCAUCUUUACUGGAACCCAGUUGCAACCUGUUGUUCGAGCCUCAAACACGUCAGUUAUUAUAAAGUCAUUUUUUUUACUGGCCAACAUAUGUUUGCAGAUCUCAUAUUGACAAAUCGGAUAACAAAGCUUGAUAUCUCAGUUUACAGUUUUGACAGAAGACAUAAUUAUGAGUCGUGAAAUCACAUUUGUAGAUGUAAGUCAGAUGUAAAUAUGUACAGACAAACAAAACCUUUUCACAUCUGAAGUGUGUACAAAAAAAGAGGGUAGAGAAGCUGUUUGCUCACGGGGCGUUAAUGUGAUGAGGAGAGUGGCUGUGGCCAGGUUGGCCACGGUUGUAAUGCACAAACCGUUCUCUCUGUUAUCUGGGAUUUGAAGCUAAAGCUAACUGACCUUUCAUACUGUAAACAGGCUACCCGAGGCUGCUGUCCACUCACACACACACACACACACACACACACACACACACACACACACACUCUGCACCAUCAUUUAUGACUGUCCUAUAUGUGGAAAUGUUA
Oreochromis niloticus (Nile tilapia) is the source of this 1471-nucleotide long non-coding RNA. RefSeq lists it as uncharacterized. NCBI's taxonomy places the organism in Eukaryota, Metazoa, Chordata, Actinopteri, Cichliformes, Cichlidae. The record is from RefSeq and is a predicted model, not a curated record. The transcript has 2 exons.